This 73-nucleotide transfer RNA is filed under the name Saccoglossus kowalevskii. Its description in RNAcentral is "tRNA-Val". It matches the Rfam family "tRNA". From Rfam's summary of the family: Transfer RNA (tRNA) molecules are approximately 80 nucleotides in length. Their secondary structure includes four short double-helical elements and three loops (D, anti-codon, and T loops). Lineage: Eukaryota; Metazoa; Hemichordata; Enteropneusta; Harrimaniidae. The record is from RNAcentral.
GUUUUCGUAGUGUAGUGGUUAUCACGUUCGCCAUACACGCGAAAGGCCCCCGGUUCGAACCAGGGCGAAAACA